RNAcentral lists this long non-coding RNA (203 nucleotides) under Elaeis guineensis (African oil palm). RNAcentral's name for it is "long non-coding RNA (EGUI_LNC066954)". Lineage: Eukaryota; Viridiplantae; Streptophyta; Magnoliopsida; Arecales; Arecaceae. The record is from RNAcentral.
ACCCUUGUUCAAAGAUGAGAAAUAAUUCUUUAGUGCUUCUCAAAUAUUUAAAAAUAUUUUUACAGCAAUCCAAUGCUCCCAGUCUGGAUUUGACUAAUAUCUGCUCGUGACUUUUAUAGCAAGAUAUAGCAAGUCGAGUACAUAGCAUGGCAUAUACCUAUGCCCAAGAGGAUAACGGAUCCCUCUUGGAGGUUUCAAUGAUG